UGUGGGAGCUGGCUUGCCAGCGAUGGGGCCAUGUCAGUCGACAUCUUUUUGGCAGAUGCACCGCUAUCGCUGGCAAGCCAGCUCCCACA
This 89-nucleotide unclassified non-coding RNA is filed under the name Pseudomonas sp. B10. Lineage: Bacteria; Pseudomonadati; Pseudomonadota; Gammaproteobacteria; Pseudomonadales; Pseudomonadaceae. The record is from RNAcentral.